UAGCACUGAUUCAGAGGCUUUGCCACGAGAGGCCUUGGAGAUGGAGUCUGGCGCCCCUUCACCAAAUGCGUGCUCAAGCACUGGCCCUGAGGCCAGCCGGAUUUGUGUGAACCCUUUCAAGAGGUUCCUGAAGUGCAAGAAUCCCUUCACGCCUGCGGAGGAGUCCAUGCCUCAAGGAGAGAGGGCUGUGUUUCACAGAGCCCGAGGGCUCUUCAGAAGAGAUCUCACAUUUAAAAACUCAGUUGGUGCAGGCGGGAUAGAGGGAAGCUAACCAGGCAGAUUUCAGCCAUCCGUUUCCAGUGCUACAUAGCAUAAGUCCAAUGCUACUUCUACCUGACCGUCUAUCAAAUAUUUGAAGACAGCUAUCACAUGUCAAUAGGCUUUUCCUCUCAAGCUAAUCAUCCCACAUUUC
Long non-coding RNA from Herpailurus yagouaroundi (jaguarundi), 412 nucleotides. RefSeq lists it as uncharacterized. The record is from RefSeq and is a predicted model, not a curated record. The transcript is spliced from 3 exons. NCBI's taxonomy places the organism in Eukaryota, Metazoa, Chordata, Mammalia, Carnivora, Felidae.